GGGGAUGUAGUUAAUAAUAACAUUUAAUUUGCAAUUAAAAAGUGCAAUUACUGCCUUCCUUA
RNAcentral lists this transfer RNA (62 nucleotides) under Physoderes impexa. RNAcentral describes it as "tRNA-Ala". It matches the Rfam family "tRNA". From Rfam's summary of the family: Transfer RNA (tRNA) molecules are approximately 80 nucleotides in length. Their secondary structure includes four short double-helical elements and three loops (D, anti-codon, and T loops). Further hydrogen bonds mediate the characteristic L-shaped molecular structure. tRNAs have two regions of fundamental functional importance: the anti-codon, which is responsible for specific mRNA codon recognition, and the 3' end, to which the tRNAs corresponding amino acid is attached (by aminoacyl-tRNA synthetases). tRNAs cope with the degeneracy of the genetic code in two manners: having more than one tRNA (with a specific anti-codon) for a particular amino acid; and 'wobble' base-pairing, i.e. permitting non-standard base-pairing at the 3rd anti-codon position. Lineage: Eukaryota; Metazoa; Arthropoda; Insecta; Hemiptera; Reduviidae. The record is from RNAcentral.